RNAcentral lists this ribosomal RNA (444 nucleotides) under uncultured prokaryote. RNAcentral describes it as "bacterial SSU rRNA". It matches the Rfam family "Bacterial small subunit ribosomal RNA", at positions 355 to 796 of the family's 1533-position model. The record is from RNAcentral.
UAAGGAAUAUUGGACAAUGGGCGCAAGCCUGAUCCAGCCAUCCCGCGUGCAGGAUGACGGCCCUAUGGGUUGUAAACUGCUUUUAUAGAGGACGAAACGCUUUGGUUUACCAGAGCCUGACGGUACUCUACGAAUAAGCACCGGCUAAUUCCGUGCCAGCAGCCGCGGUAAUACGGAAGGUGCAAGCGUUAUCCGGAAUCACUGGGUUUAAAGGGUGCGUAGGCGGGCCGAUAAGUCAGAAGUGAAAGCUCAUCGCUUAACGAUGGAAUUGCUUUUGAUACUGUUGGUCUUGAAUUAGGUUGAGGUUAGCGGAAUGAGUCAUGUAGCGGUGAAAUGCAUAGAUAUGACUUAGAACACCGAUUGCGAAGGCAGCUGGCUAGACCUAUAUUGACGCUGAGGCACGAAAGCGUGGGGAGCGAACAGGAUUAGAUACCCGUGUAGUCC